UACAGAGGGUGCAAGCGUUGUUCGGAAUUACUGGGCGUAAAGCGCGUGUAGGCGGCGGCGUAAGUCGGAUGUGAAAGCCCUCGGCUUAACCGAGGAAGUGCAUUCGAUACUGUGUCGCUUGAGUACCGGAGGGGAUGGCGGAAUUCCCGGUGUAGAGGUGAAAUUCGUAGAUAUCGGGAGGAACACCUGUGGCGAAGGCGGCCAUCUGGACGGUGACUGACGCUGAGACGCGAAAGCGUGGGUAGCAAACAGG
This 253-nucleotide ribosomal RNA is filed under the name uncultured bacterium. RNAcentral describes it as "partial 16S ribosomal RNA". It matches the Rfam family "Bacterial small subunit ribosomal RNA", at positions 524 to 776 of the family's 1533-position model. The record is from RNAcentral.